CAGUCGCCGCGGGAAUACAGAGGGUGCGAGCGUUAAUCGGAUUUACUGGGCGUAAAGCGUGCGUAGGCGGCUUCUUAAGUCGGAUGUGAAAUCCCUGAGCUUAACUUAGGAAUUGCAUUCGAUACUGGGAAGCUAGAGUAUGGGAGAGGAUGGUAGAAUUCCAGGUGUAGCGGUGAAAUGCGUAGAGAUCUGGAGGAAUACCGAUGGCGAAGGCAGCCAUCUGGCCUAAUACUAACGCUGAGGUACGAAAGCAUGGGGAGCAAACAGGAUUAGAUACCCCCGUAGUCCCUGUCUCUUAUAC
RNAcentral lists this ribosomal RNA (301 nucleotides) under uncultured bacterium. RNAcentral describes it as "partial 16S ribosomal RNA". It matches the Rfam family "Bacterial small subunit ribosomal RNA", at positions 509 to 807 of the family's 1533-position model. The record is from RNAcentral.